GGAAAGGAUGUGAAGUUCAAUCGAAAGCUGCUAACUAUCGUAAAUGCGGUUAAACUCCGUUUACA
RNAcentral lists this transfer RNA (65 nucleotides) under Japyx solifugus. RNAcentral's name for it is "tRNA-Ser". Lineage: Eukaryota; Metazoa; Arthropoda; Diplura; Dicellurata; Japygidae. The record is from RNAcentral.